GCCCGGCUUCUCCAGCUCUCCUGCUCCUCUGCUGCCUUCGUUUCUGGUCCACCCGCCCGGAAGAGUCCACUUCUUCCGGUCCACCCGCCCGGAAGAAGUCCUUGCUCCUGCCAAGAAGCCGCUCUCCGCUGGCCCGCAGCCGCCGCGACUUCGGCACAGUCUGCCUGUGCCUGGUCUCCCAAACGACCGCUCCUCGCCCUCGGAAGACCGGGCUGCAACCGCGAACGCCUGAUCUACUCUGGGGGCCGCCGCGAGCGCCCGGCGACCACGCCCCGCGACCACACCUCGGCGGUUCUCCGCCCAUCGCGCCUACCUUUGCCGCCCGCCCUCGCUCCUUGCCCGCUCCACGACGACGCGACGCCCUCGCUGCUGGCAGCGGACCCGGACCCGGACCCGGACGCAAGAUGGCGACUGCUGCGUGACUGCCUCAGCGUCCCUGAGCUCGGCCCCGAGUGCGUCCACGGACUGACUGUGGGGGCAGGGAAGGGUGAAAUCAGGACUCUGUGUCUUUGUUAAUCGUGACUGCGUGAAGCUCGCCUCCCUUGGGCCUACUUGAGGGGAGUGUCUGGCGUUGUUCUAAGGCCAGGAGCACGGUGAGCCACUGUCUGUUGAUAGAAUUGGUGUCUUGAUAGUUGAGAAAAUGGCGAUGAUACUGUUGGAAGACUGGUGCUGGGGAAUGGAUGUGAACUCCCAGAGAGCUCUGUUGGUCUGGGGCGUCCCAGUGAACUGAGAUGAGGCUGAAAUCCAAGAGACCCUCCAGGCUGCGAUGCCCCAGGUGCCCUACCGAGUGCUUGGGAGAAUGUUCUGGAGGGAAGAAAAUGCGAAAGCAGGCUUAUUAGAGCUCACUAGCGCUGUCAAUUACGCCAUGAUCCCCAGGGAGAUGCCGGGCAAAGGAGGAGUCUGGAAAGUGUUCUUUAAGCCCCCCGACUUCCGAUGUUGAAUUUUUAGAAAGACUGCACCUCUUCCUAGCUAGAGAGGGCUGGACCGUGCAGGAUGUCCUCUGUGUCCUUGGGUUUCAGAACCCUACCCCGACCCGGGUCCCAGAGAGAUGCCAGCAGAGAUGCUAAACUAUAUUUUGGAUAAUGUUAUUCAGCCUCUUGUUGAGUCCAUAUGGUACAAGAAGCUGACACUUUUCUCGGGGAGGGACAUCCCAGGGCCUGGAGAGGAAACCUUUGAUCCCUGGCUGGAGCACACUAAUGAGGUCCUGGAGGAGUGGCAGGUGCCGGAUACAGAAAAGAGGCGGCGGUUGAUGGAGCGUCUUAGAGGCCCCUCCGCUGAUGUCAUUCGAAUCCUCAAGACCAACAACCCCGUGAUAACUACUGCCGAAUGCCUGCAGGCUCUUGAGCACGUGUUUGGGAGUGUUGAGAGCUCUAGGGAUGCCCAGGUCAAAUUUCUGAACAUUUAUCAGAACCCGGGAGAAAAGUUGUCUGCUUAUGUCAUUCAUUUGGAGCCUCUGCUACAGAAGGUGGUGGAGAAGGGGGCCAUUGAUAAAGAUAAUGUGAACCACGCUUGUCUAGAGCAGGUCAUUUCCGGGGCCAACCAAAGUGGGGCCAUCCAAAGGCAGCUGUGGCUUAACAGGGCUGGGGAAGGACCGGCCCCAAACCUCUUUGAGUUGCUGGUGCAGAUCCGUGAGGAGGAAGCCAAGGAAGAGGAGGAGGAGGCUGAGGCCACCCUUCUGCAGUUAGGCCUGGAAGGGCACUUUUGAGUCCCAGGAAAGGCAGCUUUAGUGCAGACCUAGAUCACAGCUACUGUCCUUGUCCCUGUGGGGUCUUACAAUGUGUCUGAGUAGGAAAGUCUUAGUCCUGUUACGUUUGUUUUUGGAGGGCAGGAUUACUCAGGCCUGAGUAUUCAUGUAACAUUCUAAAAUUGGGCAUGCAAGCACUGUGAGCUGCUAGCGGAUCUUGCUGGCUACAAUGCCAGGUAAAGGGCUGGUUGGACAUAGCGCUUAGUGCAUGCCGUCAGCAUGGCCAUCAUAAUCAGUUGUGAAAAACACGCGAACUUGUGACACUUCCUAUUCCACAUUGAAUGUGAAAUUGCAUGUUCAGAUGUUUACUGCGGGGCCUAGCUCACAGGAAUUGUUCAGUAAAAGUGUGAACUGUUAGAUUACUGAUAUUGUGGAUAGAUUUUUGUUUUCCAUAAAUUGUUCCAGAUUUUAUUAAUGGAAGGAAAUGUGCAUUUAUUUAGUUAUGACUCAACUUUACAAUGUAAACAUAUUAUUUCUCAUCUUUAAACAUGUGGAUCAGUUUAACUGAAAAGUAUUCUGAGACUGCAAAAUGGGGUGUUAAAAAAUACUGCAGUUAUGGAGCUGUGUAACCCAUUUUUUCACUGCAUAAGAUACAGAUGUAAAUUGCAUGGAAGAGGUUGAUGUGCACCUGUUAGAGUAAUUCACUGCCCCAAUUUCAAAUCUUUGUCAGAAAAUAGUUCUUGUUCAUACUGAUUCUGAGUGUUCUAAAUUUGAAGUUACAUACACAAAUAAAAAUGUUUUUUGAAAAAAAAAAAAAGACAUUAGUUUCAUGGGCCUUAUAAAAGCAGCAUUGCAUUGAUAUUUAAUACUAGGCCAUGAUUGAAACUGCUUCAGAAGACAUCAUGAUCAACUACAUACAGAGUAAUGGCAAGUUUACUAUAAAAUUAACAUCCUCAGUUGUCACAAGAAAUCUGACAAUCACUAGAAUGGCAAAGCACUGUGUUCUAUUUAUGUCCUUUUCAAACAUGAUUGAUAAGAAUUUGUUACCUUAUUAGUAUGUCAUAAGUAGUCAGCAAAGUCCAUCUUAAAAUUUGAAAAUUAUUAUUUUCUGCUCACGUUCAACUUUCAGCAAUGUACACAGUGAUAGUAAUGAAAGCAGCCAUUAGAAUACUCUAUUUUCUUUAUAGUGAGCUGCCAAAUACGUUUUUUCUAUCCAGAUCAUACUUACAUUGCUUUUGUGCCUUUGGUCAUAGUCAUAGUACACAGAGGAAGCAGGGUAGUGACAGCUAUACAUUUUUCUACAGAAGAUCAGCUAUUAAAUCAAGAACCAAGAGAAUCACCUCAGCCUGGACACCGAGAACCAAAGCCACAUCUUGCCACUGAUAUUAAUAUAACUUUGUUAUUCUACUGUUCCAUUAGUAUUACUUUUCAAGGACUGUCCUACCUCCAGAAUGGUUUGAUUUUUUAUUAUAGGAACUUCCCAAAUGCUUUAUCAACUCUUCCGGGGAAGGUAUAGACCAAGUUUGCAGCCUGAGUCUUUGAAUUCUUCCCCUCAAAUCCUCACUUCACUAUUUUCACUAAGGCCAGACUGUUGUAUAAUGAUUCUUACACAAUUCUAAUCAAAUCCUCUCCUUCAGGGACCCAUCUUAAACUAAACAUGCAAUUCUCAAUAAAUUCUGAUCUCCCCUUCUCUCCUCUGGGAUGCUGCUAGAAAUUUACAAAGGCUGCAAUCUCUCUUUUGCCGCAGUGUAUUAGUUUUCUAUUGCUGCUGUAACAAUUUACCACAAACAGUGUUGUAAACAAGCCAGACUUGUUAUCCUACAGUCCUCUUGGUCAGAAGUUUGAUGUGAGUCUUACUGAACUUUAGUUCAGUGCAUCAGCAGGCUUGAGUUUCUUCCUGCAGGCUCUGGGCUUCUGUUUCUUUGACUUUUCCAGCAUCUAGAGGCUGCCUGCUAUCCUUAGCUCCUGGCCCCUUCCUCCAACUUCACAGUCAGCAAUGACAGGCUGGGAGGCCUUCUCACACUGCCUUCUCUUUGGUUCUUUCUCUUCUGCCUCCCCCUCCCUCUUAAAUCACAAAUUUAAGAAUUUGUGAUUCGGCUUAUCUGGAUAAUCCAAGAUAAUCUCUCUAUUUCAAAGUGAGUUAACAACUUUAAUUCUAUCUGUGGCCUUAAUUUCCAUUUUUCAUAUAAGUUCACAUAUUCACAUAUUCCAGAGAUGUGUGUGGACAUCUUUGAGAGGUCAUUAUUUUUUUGCCACAUAGGUAAGCAAUAAACUUUGCAAUAAAUAAGCAAUCAGCUUUGUCUCAUCAACACGUUAUGUUGGUGAUAUUUGGAGAUCCAGCUUUGACAAGCAAUUAGCACCAACAUGACCUACUUGCAGAAGCUUGUCAUAGCUAUUUUUCUAAAUAUGAUAAUAGAUUAAUGUAAUAAUCCAAGCCAAGAAUUAUGACAUUUUAAACGCAGAGACACUCUUACUCCUAAAAUGUCUUCAAAUAGACAUUAACAUACAAAUAUUUUAAUUAGAUUCUUUUAAAUUCUUAAGCUGUAACCCAAAAGUGGAGUUGAAAUCUCAAGUGACAAUAACACACAAAUGGGGGUUCUACUCAGCACUUCCAGGCACACCCCCCCAAUAUAUAUAAACUCUAUACAAAAGCAUAUUUGGAAGUGAAUUCAUUGUUCAUAAGUAGUUGUGGAGAGAUAGAAAACAGACUUUACAUUUCACGUUCAAUAAAACCCCCACAGAAUGUCAAUUCUUAUUAUUCAUGGAUUUUUAUGUUCAAAUCCAUCUUCUUGCUAAAAUGUAGUUAUAUUUGCAAAUUCACCCACCUGCUAAAAUUUAUUUAUAAUCCCAAAAUUCACACUCACAGCACCUUUGCUGUCAUACACAGACUGGCCAAAAAUUUCACUCUCCCAACUUUCAAGUUCCCAGCUGAUGUUGAACAAAACUAUGCUCUGCCUUCUUGUUUUGGCUCUCAUACUAAAACCAAGCGUCCUUUUCACAAUCCAUUUAGGGCCAUGUUUUUCAUAUUUUUGUGCUUUUUUGGUGAUUUUGAUGUUUACAAUGGCCCCCAAGCAUAGUGCUAAGGUGCUCUCAAAGCACAAGAAGCCUGUGAUGUGCAUUAUGAAGAAAAUACACAUGUGAGAUGAACUUUUGUUCAGAUAUGACCUGUAAUGCCACUGGCUGUAAGUUCAAUGCUGAUGAAUAAAUUUUAUACAUUAAAUAA
This is a non-coding RNA of Callithrix jacchus (white-tufted-ear marmoset), 4907 nucleotides long. NCBI's taxonomy places the organism in Eukaryota, Metazoa, Chordata, Mammalia, Primates, Cebidae. The record is from RefSeq and is a predicted model, not a curated record.